RNAcentral lists this ribosomal RNA (450 nucleotides) under uncultured bacterium. Its description in RNAcentral is "partial 16S ribosomal RNA". It matches the Rfam family "Bacterial small subunit ribosomal RNA", at positions 354 to 796 of the family's 1533-position model. The record is from RNAcentral.
GUGGGGAAUCUUCCGCAAUGGACGAAAGUCUGACGGAGCAACGCCGCGUGAGUGAUGAAGGUCUUCGGAUUGUAGAGCUCUGUUAAUCGGGACGAAAGAGCCUAGUGUGAAUAAUGCUAGGAAGUGACGGUACCGGAAUAGAAAGCCACGGCUAACUACGUGCCAGCAGCCGCGGUAAUACGUAGGUGGCAAGCGUUGUCCGGAAUUAUUGGGCGUAAAGCGCGCGCAGGCGGAUCUGCCAGUCUGUCUUAAAAGUUCGGGGCUUAACCCCGUGAUGGGAAGGAAACUACAGAUCUAGAGGAUCGGAGAGGAAAGUGGAAUUCCUAGUGUAGCGGUGAAAUGCGUAGAUAUUAGGAAGAACACCAGUGGCGAAGGCGACUUUCUGGACGAAAACUGACGCUGAGGCGCGAAAGCCAGGGGAGCGAACGGGAUUAGAAACCCCAGUAGUCC